Molecule: ribosomal RNA, 1594 nt
Filed under: uncultured Acaulospora
Lineage: Eukaryota; Fungi; Glomeromycota; Glomeromycetes; Diversisporales; Acaulosporaceae
Description: eukaryotic LSU rRNA
Rfam family: Eukaryotic large subunit ribosomal RNA (bases 710-1594)
Source: RNAcentral
UCGCUCUUCAACGAGGAAUCCCUAGUAAGCGUGAGUCAUCAGCUCACGUUGAUUACGUCCCUGCCCUUUGUACACACCGCCCGUCGCUACUACCGAUUGAAUGGCUUAGUGAGACUCUCGGAUUGGGUUUGAGGAACCGGUAACGGUCCCUCUUCUCUGAGAAGUUUGUCAAACUUGGUCAUUUAGAGGAAGUAAAAGUCGUAACAAGGUUUCCGUAGGUGAACCUGCGGAAGGAUCAUUAGAAAUUUUUAUUAUAUGUAUUCAAAAUUUCAAUCUUUAUAAAAAUUUUAUUUUUAUCUAAAAAAAUAAUAUAAAGACAACUUUCAACAACGGAUCUCUUGGCUCUUGCAUCGAUGAAGAACGCAGCGAAAUGCGAUAAGUAAUGUGAAUUGCAGAAUUCCGUGAAUCAUCAAAUCUUUGAACGCAAAUUGCACUCUUUGGUAUUCCGAAGAGUAUGCUUGCUUGAGGGUUGUUUUAAUAAUCAUCGUUUUUUUUUUUAAUUAAAAAAAAAAACGGAUCUGAGUGUUCCAAGGUUUUAUUAUUUAUAACUUUGGUAACUUGAAAUUAAUCUUAACGAUAUUUUGGUAUGAUAUUGGAAAUGUUUUAUCUUACAUUUUGUAAGUUUCAUUAACAAUCGAUUACUAUCGUUAAUAGCGUAUUAUUUAUUUGAUUCUUUAUAAUUGAAUAUUAUAAUACAAUCUUUUUUUUCAAACCUCAAGUCAAGUAAGAUUACCCGCUGAACUUAAGCAUAUCAAUAAGCGGAGGAAAAGAAACUAACAAGGAUUCCCUCAGUAACGGCGAGUGAAGCGGGAAAAGCUCAAAUUUAAAAUCUGAGAUUCCAAUUUUGCGAGUCUCCGAAUUGUAGUUUAGAGAAGCGUUUUCGGCGAUGACCUGGAUCAAAGUCUCUUGGAAUGGAGCAUCCUAGAGGGUGAGAAUCCCGUUUAUGGUCCAGUGUGGGGAGACAGCAUCGCUAUAUGUAAGCGUUUCGACGAGUCGGGUUCUUUGGGAUUAGAGCUCAAAAUGGGUGGUAAAUUUCAUCUAAAGCUAAAUAUGGGCGAGAGACCGAUAGCGAACAAGUAGCGUGAGCGACAGUUGAAAAGAACUUUGAAAAGAGAAGUUAAAUAGUACGUGAAAUUGUUAAAAGGGAAGCAUUUGGAAUCAGUGUUGCUGGUUAGGUAGAAAAUCAGUUUCUUUUCCAGGAUCCCUGUGCUUAAAUGAGUUGCAUUUUAAACCUUUUUUGUGCAGUGUUUAUCUUGGAAAAGGGAUGUACUUUUCUAUUCUAACAUACGGUCAACAUCAGUUUUUUCUGCCGGAUAAAGGUCUUGAGGAAGGUAGAUCAUUUUCUCACGAAAAAGAUUGUUAUAGCCUCGAGAAUCAUAUACGGUGGAGAAGACUGAGGAACUUAAACUAUGUGCCUUAGGCGAUAGCUAUGCGGCCUUAGGAGGGUGAAGAUAUUAAGCUAUCUGAUAGAUUAAUGUCUUUUGCCUUUUUAUGAACUGUAUAGUUAUUAACAUAGUUCAAGAUGUUGACAAAAUGGUUUUAAAUGACCCGUCUUGAAACACGGACCAAGGAGUCUAACAUGUAUGCGAGUGUU